UACGAGUGCCUCAAGCGUUAUCCGGAAUCAUUGGGCGUAAAGGAUGUGUAGGUGGUCAUAUUAGUCUUCUGUUAAAUUUCCCGGCUUAACCGGGAACAUGCAGAGGAAACGGUAUGACUUGAGGAUGCAAGGGGUUUCUGGAACUCUAGGUGUAGCGGUGAAAUGCGUUGAUAUCUAGGGGAACACCAAAAGCGAAGGCAAGAAACUGGGGCAUUCCUGACACUGAGACAUGAAAGCGUGGGUAGCGAAUGGG
This 253-nucleotide ribosomal RNA is filed under the name uncultured bacterium. Its description in RNAcentral is "partial 16S ribosomal RNA". It matches the Rfam family "Bacterial small subunit ribosomal RNA", at positions 524 to 776 of the family's 1533-position model. The record is from RNAcentral.